CAGAAGACUCCCUACCCCCGGCAAACAAUAAGGUGACCAGCAAGUCGUGUGAGUACAACGGGACCACUUACCAACACGGUGAGCUGUUCGUGGCUGAAGGGCUCUUUCAGAACCGGCAACCCAAUCAGUGUACCCAGUGCAGCUGUUCGGAGGGGAAUGUGUACUGCGGUCUCAAGACUUGCCCCAAGUUAACCUGUGCAUUCCCAGUCUCUGUUCCGGAUUCCUGUUGCCGGGUGUGCAGAGGGGAUGGAGAAUUGUCGUGGGAACAUUCUGAUGGUGAUAUCUUCCGGCAACCUGCCAACAGAGAAGCA
This is a non-coding RNA of Leptonychotes weddellii (Weddell seal), 311 nucleotides long. The record is from RefSeq and is a predicted model, not a curated record. NCBI's taxonomy places the organism in Eukaryota, Metazoa, Chordata, Mammalia, Carnivora, Phocidae.